UACGGGGGGAGCAAGCGUUGUUCGGAUUUACUGGGCGUAAAGGGCGCGUAGGCGGCCACCGCAAGUCGGUUGUGAAAUCUCCGGGCUUAACCCGGAACGGUCAAUCGAUACUGCGGGGCUAGAGUGCAGAAGGGGCAACUGGAAUUCUCGGUGUAGCGGUGAAAUGCGUAGAUAUCGAGAGGAACACCUGCGGCGAAGGCGGGUUGCUGGGCUGACACUGACGCUGAGGCGCGAAAGCGUGGGGAGCGAACAGG
RNAcentral lists this ribosomal RNA (254 nucleotides) under uncultured bacterium. RNAcentral's name for it is "partial 16S ribosomal RNA". It matches the Rfam family "Bacterial small subunit ribosomal RNA", at positions 524 to 776 of the family's 1533-position model. The record is from RNAcentral.